Molecule: ribosomal RNA, 558 nt
Filed under: uncultured Methylobacterium sp.
Lineage: Bacteria; Pseudomonadati; Pseudomonadota; Alphaproteobacteria; Hyphomicrobiales; Methylobacteriaceae
Description: bacterial SSU rRNA
Rfam family: Bacterial small subunit ribosomal RNA
Source: RNAcentral
ACGGGUGAGUAACGCGUGGGAACGUGCCCUUCGGUUCGGAAUAACUCAGGGAAACUUGAGCUAAUACCGGAUACGCCCUUAUGGGGAAAGGCUUGACUGCCGAAGGAUCGGCCCGCGUCUGAUUAGCUAGUUGGUGAGGUUACGGCUCACCAAGGCGACGAUCAGUAGCUGGUCUGAGAGGAUGAUCAGCCACACUGGGACUGAGACACGGCCCAGACUCCUACGGGAGGCAGCAGUGGGGAAUAUUGGACAAUGGGGGCAACCCUGAUCCAGCCAUGCCGCGUGAGUGAUGACGGCCUUAGGGUUGUAAAGCUCUUUUCUCCGGGACGAUAAUGACGGUACCGGAGGAAUAAGCCCCGGCUAACUUCGUGCCAGCAGCCGCGGUAAUACGAAGGGGGCUAGCGUUGCUCGGAAUCACUGGGCGUAAAGGGCGCGUAGGCGGCUGACUUAGUCGAGGGUGAAAGCCCGUGGCUCAACCACGGAAUGGCCUUCGAUACUGGUUGGCUUGAGACCGGAAGAGGACAGCGGAACUGCGAGUGUAGAGGUGAAAUUCGUAGA